GCCCGGAUGGUCUAGUGGUAUGAUUCUCGCUUGUAAGUUAACCAUGUGAACACUCAGUUUGUUCUUCUGAUACUAAUAAAUACUCCCAGUGGGCUCUAUAGUUCCAAUCUGCGAGAGGCCCCGCGUUCGAAUCGCGGUUCGGGCC
RNAcentral lists this transfer RNA (145 nucleotides) under Aspergillus tamarii. RNAcentral's name for it is "tRNA-Tyr". Lineage: Eukaryota; Fungi; Ascomycota; Eurotiomycetes; Eurotiales; Aspergillaceae. The record is from RNAcentral.